This 814-nucleotide ribosomal RNA is filed under the name uncultured bacterium. RNAcentral describes it as "bacterial SSU rRNA". It matches the Rfam family "Bacterial small subunit ribosomal RNA", at positions 663 to 1477 of the family's 1533-position model. The record is from RNAcentral.
GGAAUUUCUGGUGUAGGGGUAAAAUCCGUAGAGAUCAGAAGGAAUACCGAUUGCGAAGGCGAUCUACUGGAACAUUACUGACGCUGAGAUGCGAAAGCGUGGGGAGCAAACAGGAUUAGAUACCCUGGUAGUCCACGCCCUAAACGAUGCACACUAGUUGUUGCUAUGCUAGACAUAGCAGUAAUGCAGUUAACACAGUAAGUGUGCCGCCUGGGGAGUACGGUCGCAAGAUUAAAACUCAAAGGAAUAGACGGGGACCCGCACAAGCGGUGGAGCAUGUGGUUUAAUUCGACGAUACGCGAAGAACCUUACCUGGCCUUGACAUAGAAAGAACUUUCCAGAGACGGAUUGGUGCUAGUUUACUAGAGCUUUCAUACAGGUGCUGCACGGCUGUCGUCAGCUCGUGUCGUGAGAUGUUGGGUUAAGUCCCGCAACGAGCGCAACCCUCGUGUUUAGUUACUAACAGUUCGGCUGAGGACUCUAAACAGACUGCCUGGGUAACCAGGAGGAAGGUGAGGACGACGUCAAGUCAUCAUGGCCCUUACGGCCAGGGCUACACACGUGCUACAAUGGGGUAUACAAAGAGCUGCAAUACGGUGACGUGGAGCAAAUCUCAUAAAAUAUCUCCCAGUUCGGAUUGAAGUCUGCAACUCGACUUCAUGAAGUUGGAAUCGCUAGUAAUCGUAGAUCAGCAAUGCUACGGUGAAUACGUUCCCGGGUCUUGUACUCACCGCCCGUCACACCAUGGGAAUUGAAUUCAUUCGAAGCGGGGGAUGCUAAAAAUAGCUACCUUCCACAGUGGAUUUAGUAACUA